This 559-nucleotide long non-coding RNA is filed under the name Homo sapiens (human). RNAcentral's name for it is "non-protein coding lnc-RGMA-12:1". Lineage: Eukaryota; Metazoa; Chordata; Mammalia; Primates; Hominidae. The record is from RNAcentral.
AUGUCUACGCGUGAGUCCUUUAACCCCGAAAGUUACGAAUUGGACAAGAGCUUCCGGCUAACCAGAUUCACUGAACUGAAGGGCACAGGCUGCAAAGUGCCCCAAGAUGUCCUGCAAAAAUUGCUGUAAUCUUUAUAGGAGAACCACUUCCAAGAAGAUGAGCAGUUUCUGGGAGCCGUUACGCCAAGGCUUGGCAUUGGAAUGGAUACUCGUGUCAUUCCUUUGAGGCACGGUGGGCUUUCCUUGGUUCAAACUACAGAUUACGUUUACCGGAUCGUAGACGACCCUUCCAUGAUGGGCAGGAUAGCACGUGCCAGUGUCUUCAGUGACCUCUACGCAAUGUGGGUCACGGAAUGUGACAAUAUGCUGAUGCUCCUUGGAGUCAGUCCUAAAAUGACCGACAGGGAAAGGGAUAAAAUGAUGUCUCUGAUUAUCCAGGGUUUUAAAGACGCAGCUGAGGAAGCAGGAACAUCUGUAAUGGGUGGCCAAACCAUACUAAACCCCUGGAUUGCCCUGGGAGGAGUCGCUACCACUGUCUGCCAGCCCAAUGAAUUUAUCA